RNAcentral lists this ribosomal RNA (472 nucleotides) under uncultured bacterium. Its description in RNAcentral is "bacterial SSU rRNA". It matches the Rfam family "Bacterial small subunit ribosomal RNA", at positions 31 to 518 of the family's 1533-position model. The record is from RNAcentral.
GAACGCUGGCGGCACGCCUAACACAUGCAAGUCGAACGGAGAAUACUUAGCUUGCUUGUAUUCUUAGUGGCGGACGGGUGAGUAACACGUGAGCAACCUGCCUCUGAGAGAGGGAUAGCUUCUGGAAACGGAUGGUAAUACCUCAUAACAUUACAUGACCGCAUGAUCGUGUAAUCAAAGGUUUAUCACUCAGAGAUGGGCUCGCGUCUGAUUAGCUAGUUGGUGAGGUAACGGCUCACCAAGGCGACGAUCAGUAGCCGGACUGAGAGGUUGAACGGCCACAUUGGGACUGAGACACGGCCCAGACUCCUACGGGAGGCAGCAGUGAGGGAUAUUGCACAAUGGGGGAAACCCUGAAUGCAGCGAUGCCGCGUGGAGGAAGAAGGUUUUCGGAUUGUAAACUCCUGUUUCGAGGGACGAUAAUGACGGUACCUCGGGAGGAAGCUCCGGCUAACUACGUGCCAGCAGCCGC